AGCUCCCACCCUGGUCUUAGAUAUUGAAGAGUCCCAGGUACUCCACCCACCUCUCACUUUGUGAACAUGGAUGCCCGUGUCACUGCCUGAGGAGUUAAGUCUGUAUGACACCCAGACCCCACAGUCACAUCACAUAAAUUAAGAAUCUUGCUGGGGCGCUAUCAUUGACAGUUUUAAAUCUCAGCUGGAGUAAAUUGUUAUUAACCUAUCUAGUUAUUGCUGAAAAUCGUAGUCAAACCCGUAGGUGAAAAGAGAAGGCUGUGGAUGCUGUCUUGCCAAAGAUCUCAGAGCUGAAUUGUUCAGAGCGAGGACCAGACUGGAACUGAUUCUGCUGCUACUGUGUUUUAGGUCAGACACUCAGGCCUGUUGGGUGAUUUGGGGCAGCUAACCCAGAUGUUGCCCCUGUGAAAGUCUCUGCAGCAACUACAUGGGCAUCUCUGUUUCACCCUGCUUCUUCGUCGUCCUUUUGCUUUGCAUCACAAAGGAAAAAAUCUACCCCUGUGUAGCCAGCGCUUCAAAUCCAACCCAAGCCAGAUCAUGAAGCAGACUGAGCUGUGACGGCACCCACUGGGAGAUCCUUCUGGAGCCGUGUCAGUGGACAUGCCCUAGACAGGAGAGAGGACCUGCCUGAGUUCCCUGACUGAGAAUGUUAAUUGACCCUCUAGGGCCUUUGUUCGCUGGUGCAUCCUGUGGCAUCUUCUCACCUUGUUAAGGGCCCCUUGAUGAGUAAAAUCAUGAGCCUUUUUGGGAAGUUUGGGUAUACUAAGCUCCCAAAUCCUCUGAGUUGUUAGGGAACCUGAGCCCUGAGUAAUCCAAGUCAGGUGUAUGCCUUUGGAGAAUAUACAUGUUUGAGAGUUUUUAUUGGCCACCUCCAACCUACUUUGAGACUGAGUCCCUUCCAUCAGAGUUUGGUUCUGAGAAGCAGGUGGCAGACACCCCUGUUGCCAUCAGGUUGCAUCUGUGAAGUGAUAAGGAGAUGUGCUGACUGGGUGAAGUUCCAGAGGUCAGGAAUCUGAAACCACGUUCCCUGGGCUAACGUCGAGAUGCCAGCAGGGCUGGCUCCUUCCAGGGGCUCCAUGGGGAGGAGGCUGCCAGAGCUCUAGUCCCUGCUC
RNAcentral lists this long non-coding RNA (1112 nucleotides) under Equus caballus (horse). Its description in RNAcentral is "lncRNA (ENSECAG00000055808.1)". The record is from RNAcentral. Lineage: Eukaryota; Metazoa; Chordata; Mammalia; Perissodactyla; Equidae.